GACAUUCUCCAUCUUUGAAGAUCCUUUAAUUGGCAUGUGAGAUAAACAUACCUGCAUGUUAGUCUUAGGUUCUGAUGGAAAUGACAUGCAAUUGUGCUGCCAUUUUUUACUAUAGGACUUGACUGGUGUGCAGACACU
This is a small nucleolar RNA of Rhinolophus ferrumequinum (greater horseshoe bat), 138 nucleotides long. The record is from Ensembl. Lineage: Eukaryota; Metazoa; Chordata; Mammalia; Chiroptera; Rhinolophidae.